AUCUAUGGCCAUGCCACCCUGAAAUGUGCCUAAUCUAUCUCGUCUAAUCUUGGAAGCUAAGCAGGGUUGGGCCUGGUUAGUACUUGGAUGGGAGACCACCUAGGAAGAACAGGUACUGUAGGCA
Molecule: ribosomal RNA, 124 nt
Organism: Pteropus vampyrus (large flying fox)
Lineage: Eukaryota; Metazoa; Chordata; Mammalia; Chiroptera; Pteropodidae
Source: Ensembl